GUUAACAGUUUCCUUUUUUUAUGAUGAAGCACUGAUUCACAACCUUCAUUAAAAUUAAUUCACCUGUAAAAACAAGGAUCUGAGCUCCAAGAGUAGGACCAACCAGAGAGCCCAGCCUCCACCCCACAUUCUCACCAGCAACCCCUCGGAAGUGUGCAGACCAAGUGGUUGUGCAAAUGAAGGAAGACAAAUGAGCUGGGCACAGUGAGUGGUCUCUACUCCUUUUCCCUCUCUUCCUGUCAAGAAUAUACUCA
This 254-nucleotide long non-coding RNA is filed under the name Fukomys damarensis (Damara mole-rat). RNAcentral describes it as "lncRNA (ENSFDAG00000027206.1)". Lineage: Eukaryota; Metazoa; Chordata; Mammalia; Rodentia; Bathyergidae. The record is from RNAcentral.